Molecule: long non-coding RNA, 2075 nt
Organism: Erpetoichthys calabaricus (reedfish)
Lineage: Eukaryota; Metazoa; Chordata; Cladistia; Polypteriformes; Polypteridae
Exons: 2
Source: RefSeq, a predicted model, not a curated record
AGAGUUAAUCGAAGUUACAACAGGGCUACUCAUUGAAAGGCAGUUUGUGUCUACGCAACAAAGGAACGCUAAAAUGUCCGCGUUCAGAUCUUUCUAUACGCUAUUUUGAAAAGUCCCGUUACAGUCUGUCAGAGAACAGCUUUCUUCGGCCGGUGGGUGUCAGAAUAGAAGAAUAAAGAAGAGACAGAGAUGGUGAGGCUCAGUGGCAUUAUGGCGCUGGCAUACCAAUUGUCACGCAUCUUCCUGGAAACCUCGGCUCCGCCUUGUCGACGAAGAUACAGAAAGCCGUAUCCCUCCGCUUUAGGGUGCUCGCUAACGGGCUUCUCUUCAGAAAUGAUAACUGUAAUACACUCGUUGUUUGUCCUGGAAGCAACUGGAAUUACAUCUUACAGGACACCGUCCAGAUGGACAAUAGGAUUUUGAAGGGAAUUAUCACCAAAACAAAGAGGUCAGAGAAAAGAGGAAACUUCCCCUGUAAGGCUAUUCCAUGGAGCAAUUUAUGUUAAAAUAUCCCACCUCUGCUUAGCUUGGAGAAGACAGUCCCCACUAUAGGAAAUAGUGAACAUACAGUAGCUCAAUGAUUUAUUUGAACUUUCUUAUUAAGUACUUGAAUUUUCUUUCCAUUCUGGCAAUAGGAGAGAGACCUUUUGCCCAAUGAGGAAAAGAGAACUGUCUGUGAGCAAUAAAGAAAGCCAACAUGUCAAGAGUUAAAGGUGCACUGCAUAGUCUGUGAUCUUUGCUUUCUAUGUGCCUCCUAUUGGUACAAGCCUCUAUUUGGAAAUACUACUCAAGAAGAGUUAAAAAUGAUUUAUUUCAUCAUGCUUUUAAAUAUGAAUUAUAUUGAAUAUUUCACAGUCUACUUUGCACCCCACAGUGAAUAUAAGAGCAUAAAACCACUAAAAAGUAAUGUUUGCUAUGGUAUGAUAUUUUAAGUGUCCACCAGUUUUCACGCCAAUGUUAGACUUGUGAAAGUUUGGUUCUCACCAUAACUUAUGAUUUAUUGCCUCAAAAGGCUUAUGUUUCAUUUUUCACAUUAUGGCAAAAAUGAUCAAAAUAAGUAUGUGAAACUGGAAACUCUCAAACAAUUCUCACUAGGGAGUGUGCAGUGUAAGAAAAAUGAAACUUUUACCCUGCACAAAGUAAAUACAGUAUUUUGUGUAGUACACAUUUUUAAUUCAUAUUUACAAAUACUAUAUUUUUUUAAUUUUACAUUCUGCUCUGAUUAUUUAACACAUAUUUAUGAUAUAUUUGUCAAUGUUUUCAAUUCCCUGAGUGAAUUCCACAAUGAUACCUUCAUAUAUCAUUAAUAAUGCAUGAAAUUCUUUUCUUCAGGUUGAGUGGUCAUCAACAAUCCAGUUUGACAGAGUUGGACUGCUGAGUACAAAUCUGAUCUGUCAACUGGUGUGGCUAUAGAUUUGUUUGUCUCAAGGACCUUUGAGACCUAUAGGUUAUGUAUUUCCUCCGAUAUUCUCAGCACAAAGAAUUUAGUGUUUUCCUCUUUUCUGCUGGUGAUGCAGAAGAAAUUCUUAGUUAUCGCGUGUGAUUUUACAGUUAGAACAUUCUCAAAUCCACUAAUCCAUCACUCUGAAAUUUAAAUUAAUCUAAUCUGCAUGUUUUUGAUUGUGUGGAAUGAAAACCACUCACACACCAGUAGAAUGUGCAAACUCCAUUUGGGCAAUGGUUAAACACAAGAUACAGUACAAAUCCAGAAUUUUGGGAGGCAGCACUAACCACCACAUCAACAUAUCUCAUAAUAGCAGAUAUUAAAUUCUUAUAAACAAUUACUAUACAAUUAUGCAAAAAAAAAUGGCCUACGUAAUUAAUCUUCUUUGUAAUAUUUUGCUUGGUGACUCUUAAUUGUUUUUGAGCUAAUUUGUAAAUUGUGAAGUUUAUUUGAUUUCUUCUAUUGUUCAGAUAGCCAACCGGCAUAAAUAGUAAAAGUGAUACUAAAAUCAUUCUGAAAAUGUAUUUCAGAUGUUAAUACCACAUGGUGCUACCUGUCUUAAAAAUUGCCAGAAACAUGUACUUUUCCCAUAAUUUAUUGCCAAUAUGCACAUUAAAUAUAUAAGUUGUAA